This 440-nucleotide ribosomal RNA is filed under the name uncultured bacterium. RNAcentral describes it as "partial 16S ribosomal RNA". It matches the Rfam family "Bacterial small subunit ribosomal RNA", at positions 338 to 795 of the family's 1533-position model. The record is from RNAcentral.
CCUACGGGAGGCAGCAGUGGGGGAUAUUGCACAAUGGGGGGAACCCUGAUGCAGCGACGCCGCGUGGGUGAAGAAGCGCCUCGGCGCGUAAAGCCCUGUCAGCAGGGAAGAAAAUGACGGUACCUGAAGAAGAAGCCCCGGCUAACUACGUGCCAGCAGCCGCGGUAAUACGUAGGGGGCAAGCGUUAUCCGGAUUUACUGGGGGUAAAGGGGGCGGAGACGGCGGUGCAAGCCAGGUGUGAAAGCCCGGGGCCCAACCCCGGGACUGCUCUGGGAACUGCUUGGCGGGAGUGCAGGAGGGGCAGGGGGAAUUCCGGGGGUAGCGGUGAAAUGCGUAGAGAUCAGGAGGAACACCGGUGGCGAAGGCGGCCUGCUGGACUAAAACUGACGUUGAGGCCCGAAAGCGUGGGGAGCAAACAGGAGUAGAUACCCCAGUAGUC